Molecule: ribosomal RNA, 253 nt
Filed under: uncultured bacterium
Lineage: Bacteria
Description: partial 16S ribosomal RNA
Rfam family: Bacterial small subunit ribosomal RNA
Source: RNAcentral
UACAGAGGUGCCGAGCGUUAGGCGGAAUCACUGGGCUUAAAGCGUGUGUAGGCGGAUGCCUAAGUACCUUGUGAAAUCCCACGGCUUAACCGUGGAACUGCUCGGUAUACUGGGUGUCUUGAGCCACUUAGGGGUUACCGGAACAAAUGGUGGAGCGGUGAAAUGCGUAGAUAUCAUGUGGAACGCCAAUGGUGAAGGCAGGUAACUGGGAGUGUGCUGACGCUGAGACGCGAAAGCCAGGGGGGCGAACGGG